Long non-coding RNA from Ornithorhynchus anatinus (platypus), 1502 nucleotides. RefSeq lists it as uncharacterized. Lineage: Eukaryota; Metazoa; Chordata; Mammalia; Monotremata; Ornithorhynchidae. The transcript has 2 exons. The record is from RefSeq and is a predicted model, not a curated record.
AAGGUCACACAGCAGACAAGUGGCGGAACUGGGAUUAGAACCCAUGACUUCUGACUCCCAAGCCCGAGCUUUUUCCACUCUAUAGCACCUGAUCUCAUGAUCAGGUAACUGAGGCACAGAGAAGUGAAGUGACGUGAUCAAGGGCAGAGAGCAAACAAGUGGCGGCACCAAGACUAGAACCCAGGUCCUCCUGACUCCCAGACCCGUGCUCUAACCAGUGGACCACACUGCUUCUCUAGCCGAUUAUCAAAGGUAUAAAACCCCUACGUAGAAGUGAAAUAAUUUGAUUAUUUCCCCCAAAAUGAUAUUUUAGAGAAGAUUUAGCCCAAAUCAACGGACUAAGGGAAGUGACACAGCAGCAGACCUCAAGGAUACCUGGCAGCUCUCAAACAGCCGCACAGUAGCAGGAACUGAUCACACCAUGAGAACUUCAGCCUUUCCUAUAUCCCAGCUCCGGAGUCAAGCUGCCCAGGUGCUCAGUUAAGAAAGAGCUGCAACAAAAUGCUCCUGUAAAAACAUUCCACCUUACUUAAUCAUGUUACCUUGCAUGUAUAUGUAGUGUAAUGUAAAGACAUCAAAUAAUACAUGGUAUGUGAGAGAUUACCUUGCCUCAGGGCUGCUGAAUGACUGAAGCCAGGCCUGGUGUUAUACCCACUUUUGUGGCUUUUACUAUUAUGUGUACCUUAAUUCAGGAGUAAAUUCUAUGGUGUUGGAAAGGAGAGUAUCUGGUAUACACUGGCACACAGUAAGCACUCAAUAAAUUUGAUUGAAUGAAUAUAUCACUUCCCAUACAUUUGCACAUAUAUCUUAUCUACUUUCGUUUGAAUAGGCCUGGGCUGUCAGAAUGGGACUGAUUGAAAUCAGGAUCUGGAUAAAGGGGGUGUUCCAGGGAGGAAGAGGGGCAUGAAGAAGUAGUACUUGAGAGAGGGGAAACUCCGGGGCGGGGGGGCGACGAGAGAGAGAGACCCUUCCUUCCUAAGGAGAUGAGGACAGUGGGGGAGAAAAGAACCAAGGGAGUCCCAGAGUGGGAUACUAGAAAAAAAGAGAACAGGGAGGAGGAGAGCUAGAGGAGGAGCAAAAUUGAGCAAUUCAAAAUGUAUUUGUCUCCACUCCUGCCCUCCUCUAUAAUGAAGGGGCAAGUGAGCAGUAAAUUGUCUGAAAGGCAUGAAACGAAAACUAGGAGAAGGAGACCCAGAUAAUCUGACUCUUAGUAAUCUGAAAUUGAUGGUGGCUUUUAGUAGUCCUGCAUUUUGUUCAGUUAGUUGUUCAGAGCCACAGAAAAAGAUUUGAGAAACUGAUGGUGAAGAGAGCAUUAUCUCCUUUGAAGACUUUUGCUAAAAUAAAACUAAAGUGGGCUUACAUCAUUUUUAGGCACUCCUGCAUAUUCCAUUUCCUUCUGCUAGUUGCUCAUAACCAAGAAAGAGAUUUGAGAGGAUGAUCAUGAAAAGAGCACUAUAUCCUUCAGACUCUUGUUAUAAUAAAAAUAAAGUAUGCCUUCAUUA